GCUGGGGAGGCAAAGGGACGC
This 21-nucleotide microRNA is filed under the name Salmo salar (Atlantic salmon). RNAcentral describes it as "ssa-miR-204-4-3p". Its record names the gene ssa-miR-204-3-3p. Lineage: Eukaryota; Metazoa; Chordata; Actinopteri; Salmoniformes; Salmonidae. The record is from miRBase by way of RNAcentral.